CAAUGUGAGGGCGAUCUGGCUGCAACAUCUGUCACCCCACUGCUCUUCAGGAUUAAUCUGGCAGACCUGACCGGCUGUCCCGGUGUCCCCUUCCUCCCUCACCACUCCAUGUGCGUCCCUGCCCAAGCUGUGAAGCUUUGUGCUCAGUGGGAGAGCAUGACUACCCCGAUAAAGAAGGGCCAUUGCCUUGGUCAAGGAUCUGGAGUAGAGACACUCUCCCGCUAGACCUUAAACAAGUUCUCAAGGAAGAACAAGAGAGCAUCAGUGUGUAUAUAAGAGGCAAAGUAUAAUAGGAAUAACAAAUUGAUGAUAUGUAUAU
This 319-nucleotide small nuclear RNA is filed under the name Cavia aperea (Brazilian guinea pig). Its description in RNAcentral is "7SK RNA (ENSCAPG00000001117.1)". It matches the Rfam family "7SK RNA". Rfam says of the family: 7SK was discovered as an abundant small nuclear RNA in the mid-70s but a possible function has only recently been suggested. Two independent studies have found that 7SK RNA binds the CDK9/cyclin T complex (known as elongation factor P-TEFb). P-TEFb activates transcription by phosphorylating the C-terminal domain of RNA polymerase II. The record is from RNAcentral. Lineage: Eukaryota; Metazoa; Chordata; Mammalia; Rodentia; Caviidae.